CAUUCUCAAACCUUUUUGGUUUCUUGACCAAGAAGGCUUUGGACUCUGGAGGUUCUUGCUGGCCUUUCUUUAUUGAAGCCAGCUCCUCUGAAAUGAAUUAGUGGGAUCCACUUUGCCGAUCCUUGACGUGAUAAGAUAUUUCUACGUCUUGGGUCUCGCACCGUUUCGCUCUGGAUCCUGCUUCUAACCGUCUCAUAGAAGACAAUGGUUGAGUGAUUGCCACUUGACCCACAAA
This 235-nucleotide unclassified non-coding RNA is filed under the name uncultured Russula. RNAcentral describes it as "sequence contains ITS2". The record is from RNAcentral. Lineage: Eukaryota; Fungi; Basidiomycota; Agaricomycetes; Russulales; Russulaceae.